This 7771-nucleotide long non-coding RNA is filed under the name Homo sapiens (human). Its description in RNAcentral is "non-protein coding LINC01515:7". The record is from RNAcentral. Lineage: Eukaryota; Metazoa; Chordata; Mammalia; Primates; Hominidae.
CGGCUGGGUAGGAAGCACGCUAGCAGGGGCCUCUGGCCUUGCUGAGGGUCCCUGUUUCCCCUUUUCCUUCCUUUUCACCCAACAAAACCCUGCUUUACUCACCCUUCAAACCAUCUAUGAGCCUAAAUUGUCGUGGUCGUGGAAUGGACAAGGACCCAGUCUUUAGCUGAACUAAGGGAAAGUCCUGCUUUUUGGCGCGCAACAGGGGAGCUCAAGAAACAGGCCUCACUCACGGCAUAUGGAACUAACCACGCCCCUAACUAAGAAGGCACACCUUAGUUGCAGUUAGCACACAAUUAAAGCAACUCUCCAAGUUUUACCUUAAAGUUCAAAAUUGCUAGGAGUUGAAACUACUAGAAAUAUAUUUACAUGCAAGGAGUCAAAGAAACUUUGAACUAUUUAUGGCCUUUAAUAAUUAAGUAAGGUAUACUCCUGUGAUCAAGACUUGGAGCAUAUUUGUUUCUCUCUGCCUGGUUCCUCUAGAAAUUGGAAACUAUCACAAAACAAGAAAGCCAAACACAGAAAGUGUCACAGUUGACGCUGAGACUGUUGAAACAUAAAAUAAAAGAACAGAGACCAACUCCGUUUCCCGAUCCCUUUGCAAUCUGCAUUGAACCAUGAGUCAAGUUCUUGAUAAAGGAGUGAAAAUGGUAAGUCUAAAGCAAUGAAAAGCUGCUGUAUUGACUACACAUGCCUUCAUUUCUUCUACCCUGCUUCUUUCAUGCCUGCUUAUCUGAAUGACACCAGGAUGACAUUUAAGGCACAUCUGAAGAUGGGGAAACCACAGCACAGAAUAAGGCUGGGCCCUUGAAUCAAUAAAUGAAGGAGAACUACUCAAGAGAACAAAACCACCAGCAAUAUCCACCUGUAUUUGUCUUUUCAUAAGGUAGAGAUGGGGUUUCUCCAGGUUGCCCAGGCUGGUCUUGAACUCCUAAGUUCAAGUGAUCUGCUCACCUCAGCCUCUCAAAGUGCUGGGAUUACAGGCAUGAAUCACCGUGCCCAGCCUUUUGGCCCACUUUUUAAUAGGUUGCUUUUUUUCUUUUAAAUUUGUUAAAGUUCCUUAUAGAUGCUACAUAUUAGACCUUUGUUGAAUGCACAGUUUGCAAAAAUUUUCUCCCAUUCUGUCAGUUGUCUGUAUACUCUGUUGUGUGACACAUGUGCUCAUGGAUUAUUGUCCGAAGCAAGACAUGUGACCAAGCCUAACAUCAACUGGGUGAAGAGCUAUAUGUUCCUUUCUCAAGAGGCACUACAAGUGACAUGCCACUGGGCAGGUAAGCAUAAGUCUUUCUCCAUUGUAUUGAAAGGUCAUUAAGAGUCUGUUCAAAUAACUCAUAUGUGAAAUAUGACAAGAAUUCCAUACUAAUAUAAUGUUAUCCAGUAAUAUUUACAGCAAAGUUACUAUUUAUGCAGUGUUUUGCUGGAGCCAAUUUAUAAUGGCACACAAGAGUCAACUGUGCACCUCUCUUCCCAAUGCUACAUUCGAUGAUGUCAUCAAAAUAAAGCUGAGAUUUGCCAAACUCAUUGUCAAUCAGAGUUUGCCUAAGGAGGUAUUUCUAAGAAUAAAACAUAAUUGAGUCCCGAAAAGAUAUGUAAAAUAUUCAUUUUUAAUGAUACUGCUGCUGUUACUGACAAUAGUAAUUAUAUUUAUUUUUUGGCCAAAAAAUUUAAUUAUAAACUUUUGCCAAAUUGUCUUUGUCAAUUAAUAAAGUUUAAAAUUUAUCAAGUAUUUCUUCUACUGUGUUUGGAAAAAUUCCCUGGAUCUCUAUUGAGCUUACUUUGAAUAAUAAAAAAAAAACUCUUAUUUUAAUAUGAGGAAAUCUUCCAGUGCUGACUUUGCCCUGUAUCAAGCUUAUUAAAUAUGUAUAUUUGACCACCCCAUUUAGCAUAAAUUCCUAUUUUCUUUGCCUCUCUCUUGAAGUGUCUGUUUCUAGACUUCACCUCUCCUACUCUUCAGUGCACAUGUGUGUAUGCAUCCUGCCAUCUCACCACUGUCAGUGGGAGCACAACUCUCAGUCCCACCCCUACUAACAUGCAGGCACCCCACCAUGCCACCAGGACGGGCAUGAAUGCUGGCAACACUGUCUCUGCCAGCAAACUACCCCUGCUAUGCCACCACUGCAAUCAUGUGCAAGAAUGCUUCCACCCCACUCCCAUUGGUGCCCCACCAAAGCCAAUGCACAUGCACCCCAACAUGCCACUGUUGAGGACCAACCAAAAUAUUCAGGACCUGAACUAGACACUUGACCAAAUGGAACUAACAGAUAUCUACAGAACUCUCCACCAAAAAAUAACAGAGUGUACAUUCUGUGCCAUUGUGACUGCUGAGACACACAAGUGAGCAUGGGUUCUGCUGUCACUGCCAAGAUGAAGUGCUUUGGCCAACACCAUCCACUGAAGUGCUGUGGUCAGCAGACUGAGAACUCCUCAGGCCCUCCAUCACAACAAGUUCCCAACCACCAGGGGCCAGAAAACAGAGCUGGGGACCUGUUACCAGCCCCAGAGUUAGAGUACACAGCCCAGGAGUGCUGAGGUGUGCUUUGGUCCCCUAACAUGUUCCAGAAGCAAAACCAGUCAACCCACUUUAUACCACAAUCAAACCUCCAAGGGCAUCAAAGAAGAAAAAGGCAAAAAAAAAAAAAAAAUGGGAAUUACUUCACACAGCAAAUCUAAGGAAGAGACUGUUAAUUUGGCUUUGCCAGUUACUCCUUCUCAAGGCCCAUAAUUAAAUGUGAGUUUCUGGGCACUAAUGCAAAAGCCAGAUUUGCUCUGAGCCUGCGGGGCUUAUAAAUUGGUUGCUUUUGCAAACUGUUAUUGUUCCUUUAGGUCAAGAGGGGAAGAAUUAUUGACUUUGUUCAGUUGAAUUAAAUGCUCCCCUUGUGGUUUGAAAGAAGAAAUUUGCCUCCCUCACCCUCUAAGAUUACAUACAAAGGGAGAAUUGUUUUUGGGCAAGUUAGACUUGAUGAAAAAAUAUACAGUUCUACUGGAUUAUAGCACUGUGUGUUGCCUUAGAGUCACAUGACUCCAGUUUUGCCUUCUAUAUGAAGCCCAAGGCUUUCAUCUUUUUCUGAUACAGUGGGCUCUUCAGCUUUAAGCACUGACUUUUGUGUGCUAGUAUACAAUGCCUGUACACUCCCACAAAAAGCUCAAGAUGUCCUUACACGUAUUUGCUGUAGGUGUCCUUCAGCCGAUUUCAGUGCCUAGAAUCUAGAUGCUUUGCACCUAGUUUCACCUUUGCUCACAGAUGCUAGUGCCUUUUAGAAUCCCAAGAGGCCAAAGUAAAACUGAAAAGCCUAGGAGGACCUGGUGUGGCAAAAUCUCAUCAUGAUCCAUGCAACAGUGGAGGCAAUGUUACGCUCUGCCUCAGGUUAUACUUCUAUGCAAAUUAAAAAUAAAAUUCAUAGGAAGCAAUUAUAUUAGAGUUGGUAUUUAAUCCAGCAUUCUUCUGAAUUAUCUUACAUAUAAACUUAGUUCAUCUUAAUAUGAGAAUUAUAUAAUAAAUUUGAGGAAAUCUUACAGAUUUGUUCAAAAUAUGCUUGCUGAAUAAAUAAAUUAAUAGUAUAUGCUAAUACAGGAGAAAGAAUGCAGAGAAAACACAUUCUUUUCUUGCUACUCAGUUGCCAGAGAAGUAUAUCUAUAAUAUUUUCAGUUGUGAUGCUAUGUCCCAUUGAAUUCAACCACACAUUGGAAAAAUCAGUUUACCCUAGAAUCUAGUUAUUGUUGUGGUACAGUUUAAUUUUUGUCAAAUAAUUCUUUCUAAAAUUUCUAAUGUAAGUCUUUAAUUUUCAAGAUAUUUUGCUUAGAAGAUGAUAUGGUUUGGCUGUGUCCCCACCCAAAUCUCACCUUGAAUUCCCAGGUGUUGUAGGGGGCAGGUCUUUCCUGUGCUGUUCUUGUGAAAGUGAGUAAGUCUCAUGAGAUCUGAAGGCUUUGAAAAACAGGAAUCUCCCUGUACAAGCUCUCUCUUUGCCUGCUGCCAUCCAUGUAAGACGUGACUUGCUCCUUCUUGUCUUCUGCCAUAAUUGUGAGUCUUCCCCAGCCCAGAGUUGGAAUGAGGACCUAGAUCUUUCAUUUUAAUCUAAUACUCUUUCUUCCACUAUUUUAGUUAGAGUCAUAUGGGCAAGCCCACAAUUAGUACAUGAGGACAUUUUUAAUGGGUAAGAUUACAGAGAACCAUUAAUUCUAGCCAUUAAAUUAAUCAAUUCAGCAAAGCUCUGAUUCCCCCUUCCCUUAAUUGUUAAAUAAGUAGUUCUCCAUUCAGUUGUUAAAGGAUUAUUUCUUGAUAACAAGGAAAUAAUAAACUUCUUAAGACACCCUGGUAUGAAUAGCUGAAAUUGAUUGAUAGUAAUCUCAGUAAAUCGUUUCAUUCUAAUUUUUGGUAUAUCUAUACUGCUUUGAAUAACUCUUCUACCUACAGCCCAUUAAUAAAUAUUUGCCUAGUCAAAUUUUAGUUUGUGCUAUACUCCUAGAAGGACAUGGGGUGUAUGGAAGCGAAACUAACUGGAUAUUUAAGGCAUUCAAUAAUGUCUUUUUGCUUCCGAUUCUAGCUGUAUAACAUAGGUAAAUCUCUUAAAUUCUCAGAACUUCAAUUCAUUUAUAUGUAAAGUGAGGAGUUGUACCAUAUUGGUAGUUAUUAACAUGUACUGUACUUAUGAAUCAGUCUGAAAAUCUUGCUAAACUGCAUAUUCUGAGCUUUUCUUAAUUUUUUUUUGUUUUCUCGGAAACGCUGAUUCUCUAGGUCUUGGUUGGAGUCCAGGUAUCUGCAAAUUAAAUAAGCACUUGAAGUGAUAGUAUCUGAGUGUCCGUAGGCAAAUGUUAGGAGAACUGAAUCAGAUGUUCUUUGAAAGAUUUUCAUGGUUCUAAAAUGUUCUGAUUUAAAAUCCACAAAGAAAAAAAGCAUUGGUGUAUGUGUGUAUAUUCAUUCACAACACUGAUAGUUUCCUUGGAUCUUAAUGAGAAGCACUAAAGAGAUUUAAAUAGAGAAUGACAACAUGUAAUUUGGCUUUUAAACAAAGUUAUGUUUUUUAAUGCAGAAAAUAAAUUGGAAUGAAGCCCAUGUGAAUGCAUGGAGACAAGGUGAAAAGGUAGAUGAGAAAAAAGUUGGAAAUAUUUGCAGGUACAUUUGACAGGACCAGGAGAUGUCUUGGGCAUUCAUGAUGAUGGAAGAGUGGUCAAUAAUGACUCUAUUUUCUAGCUUGUAUCAUGAGAUGAAUGGAGACCCGUAGAAGAAUAAGUUUUGUGAGUGACUGGGUCAUGUAAUAUAUUUUGGAUUUGUUAAAUGUGAACUACUUUUAAGAAACUGUGGGGAAAAACUUCGUUUUGUUUACAUCCAUGAAUCAUUUGAAGCACGAAAAAUAAUUCUCAGCUGAAGAUACAAAUAUGAGGGCCCUGGGUGUAUAACUGAAGGCACGAGUAUAAAUGGGAUUAUUUAGGGAGGGCUUAAAAGUGGAUAGAGAGUAAAUUCACAGACUAUAGGUACAAAAUAAUCACCAAUGACAAUAUAUUAUGCAGCUUAAGACCAAUUGUAUGUAUUUUCCUGACAAUGUCUUUUAGAGCCUGUGACUAGUUUUCUCCUGAAGAUGUGGUGAUCUUCUUAUCAAUUUUUAAGAGUACUUAAAUGUUUUAACAAUUAUAUUUAACUCAAAAUUAGUUUCCAACUUGUUUUCCUUUAAUUAUAAUUUAAAGUGUAUAUUUUAUGUGUACGAAUAUUAAAAAUUUAUGAAGUCAUAUCUAUUGCCUUUGUCUCUUAUUACUUUACCAAUGCUUACAAAAACUUUCCUCAUUAAUGCUUAUAUAAAUCUUCUUUUUUAUUGCAAAUUUUUCCAUUCUUCUGGUUUGUAAAAUGCCUAAAGUAAAAUGUGUAUCUGAAUUAAUUAAUCGUUAAAUAUCUUUUCAAUUUUCUCAACCCAAUAUAUUGGACAAUUCACCUCUUACUCCCAGAGUUUUAUCUCUACAUAUUAUUCCUAUGAAGCUUUUACACAUGCUGAGACUAAAUGGUCUGUUCUAUGUCAUUGAUUCUAUUUGCCUAGUUGUCUAUUUACCUUGUAGUUUUGAGGUAAUAAAUGGUCCUUUAAACCAGUCAAUCUCUUUAUGCAGGUUCCUUGAUUUUAGCAAUUUUCAAACAGAUAUGAUUAGGUUGGUGCAAAAGUAGUUGCAAUUUUUGCCACUGAAAGUAAUGGUCAAAAUCGCAGUCACUUUUGCACCAACCUAACAGAAGUUUUAAUUGGCGUGCAAUCACUUGUAGAGUGCCUUGAAUAAUAUAAGCAUCCAUACUCUAGCCUGAAUCUCUUAAAUUGGAACCUGUGAAAAUGGAACCAGGUGACUAUAAUUUCUUUAAAACACUGUGGAAAGAUGAUCUUAAUGCAAGGCAGUGAUUAACACAAGAAAAUGAGCAGUAGAAUACAACUAAGAAUUCAUUACUUACUACUAUUUUACAACUCUAAUGGAAAAUGACCUACGAUUUUAUUAGAAAGGUUUAGAAGAAACUAAGCAGAAGGAUUGUGAAGAAAUCAGCAUGAUAGAAAGAGCUCUGGACUGAAGGUUAGAGGACAUCAGGCAUUUUUUUCCUUGGAAUCUCUGAGUCUCACUUGGACUCUGUACCCCAGUCAAUAAACACAAGAGUGUACCGGGUAAUAGUAACAGACAUGUGCUUGCUUUCUGACAACCACUUUUCCUUUCAUUUUCCCAUUAUUUCUAUACCUCUUUUUAAUAAUCCAUAUGGUCCUGGAUUAGUUGACCCCAUUACCAGGCCAAAGGACUCAGACUUUCAAAGUCAAUCAGUAUAUCCCAUCUCAGACACUGUAGGAUUUAGUCGCCAAGAUUAUAAUUCUAAUUGUAAGGAGUGCAGCAUGAAACAUCUGCCUUGAAUUACCUGAGAGCACAUACUCAGGAAAAAGAAAAACGUGAAGGCUUUCGAUAACAAACAUAACAAAAUGGGCAGGAAAAAAGAAACCACGAAACCACUAUGACAACUUUUAAGAAGGAGUCCAUAUCUUUUAAUGUCCUUGAGACUAUAGAAGUUAAUAUAGCAGACACUAGGUAGCUGUGCUUCAACAUCAGAGAAAAAGUGGGCACAGUGGCCACUAUGAGCCACAGAGACUGAGUACUAAUUAGAGUGCUUUGACUUAACAGUCAUCUUUAAUGAUGGCUAAUUAAUCAUGGGAUACUAAGUAUUGGAAUAGAAACCAACAUAGCCUAGUUAUUUUUAGUUAGAGAUGAAUUUGCUUUGAUGUGAUUUUUUUUCUUUUUCUGCAAUGAAGCUAUGUCCAAAGAAUGUACUUUUCUUUUCUGUCCCCUGGGUUGAAGCAAUUCUUGUGCCUCAGCCUCCCAAGUAGCUGGGACUACAGGCACACGCCACCAUGCCCAACUGAUUUUUUGUAUGUUUAGUAGAGACGGGGUUUCGCCAUGUUAGCCAGGCUGGUCUUGAACUCCUGGCCUCAAGUAAUCCACCUGCCUCAGCCUCCCAACAUGCUGAAAUUACAGGUGUGAACAACCACGCCUGGCCAGAAAGUACUUUUCGAGAAGUUUCAUAUAGAUUCUUUUCCUGUUGCUUAGAAAUAGAUGGCAGUUAUUCAGAGAACCAGAGAAACUAAAGUGUGUACAUUUCCCAGUCAAAAAAAAAUACGAUAAAAAUAUUGACUAUGAGCAGAUAUAUUGUCUGGAUUGUCUGUUAAUUAUCCGUGUUCACAUGCAGUGAGUAAUAUUUGGCACAUUUUUUUCUACAUUCCUUAUUUUCAUCCAGAGUAUAAUUAAUGUCUUAAUAUACCAGAAAGAAAAA